RNAcentral lists this long non-coding RNA (495 nucleotides) under Homo sapiens (human). RNAcentral's name for it is "HSALNT0260382". Lineage: Eukaryota; Metazoa; Chordata; Mammalia; Primates; Hominidae. The record is from RNAcentral.
GCAGGGCAUUGAUGAGGGAGGACUUGCCCGCGCCCGACUCGCCCGUGACGCCCACCUCCAGGCGGAUGCUUUCCGUGGAGGCCAGCAGCUCCUGGAGAACUACUAUGCAAAGAGGUCCUGCUACCGUGCUGGAGAGACCUCAUGUAGAGACUGCAGCCACAUGGAGAUGAGCUUGAAGCCAUCCAGGACAUUUCAGCCACAGAUGAGCUCCAGCUGAAUGCAGGCACAGGUGUAACCCCAGCCAACACCACAUGGGGGGCAGAAGAACCAUACAGCUGAGCCCAGCCAACCCACAGGCUUUCCAGAAACAAGCCAGGAGUGAGGUGGGACUCUUCUACAUUCAGUGACUCAAUUUGGUCAGAACUAAGGACAAUGAGGAACUGGCCUUGGGUGCAAAAUUUAAGGGAGUGCGAAAAAUUGAGUCAUUGAGAUAAAUUAUAUUUUAAUGCAAUUUUUAAUGCAAUAUUUUAACUAAUAAAAAUUAAUGCCAAAAAA